UACGUAGGGGGCAAGCGUUGUCCGGAUUUAUUGGGCGUAAAGAGCUCGUAGGCGGUUUCGUAAGUCGAGUGUGAAAAAUCUGGGCUCAACCCAGUGGAGCACUCGAUACUGCGAUGACUGGAGUACGGUAGAGGAGUGUGGAAUUCCUGGUGUAGCGGUGAAAUGCGCAGAUAUCAGGAGGAACACCAACGGCGAAGGCAGCACUCUGGGCCGGUACUGACGCUGAGGAGCGAAAGCGUGGGGAGCAAACAGG
Molecule: ribosomal RNA, 253 nt
Filed under: uncultured bacterium
Lineage: Bacteria
Description: partial 16S ribosomal RNA
Rfam family: Bacterial small subunit ribosomal RNA
Source: RNAcentral